UACAGAGGGUGCAAGCGUUAAUCGGAAUUACUGGGCGUAAAGCGUGCGUAGUCGGUUAUUUAAGUCGGAUGUGAAAGCCCUCGGCUCAACUGAGGAAGUGCACCCGAAACUGGCGAGCUUGAGUACGAAAGAGGAUCGCGGAAUUCCCGGUGUAGAGGUGAAAUUCGUAGAUAUCGGGAGGAACACCGGUGGCGAAGGCGGCGAUCUGGGUCGAUACUGACGCUGAGGUGCGAAAGCGUGGGGAGCAAACAGG
This 253-nucleotide ribosomal RNA is filed under the name uncultured bacterium. Its description in RNAcentral is "partial 16S ribosomal RNA". It matches the Rfam family "Bacterial small subunit ribosomal RNA", at positions 524 to 776 of the family's 1533-position model. The record is from RNAcentral.